This 398-nucleotide ribosomal RNA is filed under the name uncultured bacterium. RNAcentral's name for it is "bacterial SSU rRNA". It matches the Rfam family "Bacterial small subunit ribosomal RNA", at positions 29 to 426 of the family's 1533-position model. The record is from RNAcentral.
AUUGAACGCUGGCGGCGUGCUUAACACAUGCAAGUCGAUCGGUAACAGGUGUAGCAAUACAUGCUGACGAGAGGCGGACGGGUGAGUAAUGCUUGGGAAUCUGCCUAUUAGUGGGGGACAACCCGGGGAAACUCGGGCUAAUACCGCAUACGCUCUACGGAGAAAAGCCGGGGACCGCAAGGCCUGGCGCUAAUAGAUGAGCCCAAGUCGGAUUAGCUAGUUGGUAGGGUAACGGCCUACCAAGGCGACAAUCCGUAGCUGGUCUGAGAGGACGACCAGCCACACCGGAACUGAGACACGGUCCGGACUCCUACGGGAGGCAGCAGUGGGGAGUAUUGGACAAUGGGGGCAACCCUGAUCCAGCGACGCCGCGUGGGUGAAGAAGGCCUGCGGGUUGU